RNAcentral lists this ribosomal RNA (477 nucleotides) under uncultured organism. RNAcentral describes it as "partial 16S ribosomal RNA". It matches the Rfam family "Bacterial small subunit ribosomal RNA", at positions 333 to 801 of the family's 1533-position model. The record is from RNAcentral.
ACACUCCUGCGGGAGGCAGCAGUGGGGAAUAUUGCACAAUGGGCGCAAGCCUGAUGCAGCCAUGCCGCGUGUAUGAAGAAGGCCUUCGGGUUGUAAAGUACUUUCAGCGGGGAGGAAGGCAAUACGGUUAAUAACCGUGUUGAUUGACGUUACCCGCAGAAGAAGCACCGGCUAACUCCGUGCCAGCAGCCGCGGUAAUACGGAGGGUGCAAGCGUUAAUCGGAAUUACUGGGCGUAAAGCGCACGCAGGCGGUCUGUCAAGUCGGAUGUGAAAUCCCCGGGCUCAACCUGGGAACUGCAUGCGAAACUGGCAGGCUUGAGUCUUGUAGAGGGGGGUAGAAUUCCAGGUGUAGCGGUGAAAUGCGUAGAGAUCUGGAGGAAUACCGGUGGCGAAGGCGGCCCCCUGGACAAAGACUGACGCUCAGGUGCGAAAGCGUGGGGAGCAAACAGGAUUAGAUACCCCUGUAGUCCCAUGAU